UAGGGCACGUAGUACGACUUUCACUUGGUCAGGAUCUUCGAUGCCUCUGUAAUAUGCUAUCGACUUGCAUGCUUGCUCCUUUUUACCUUUUGCCACCAAGAAAUACGGAGUUUCGCGUAAGCACAUGAGCGGCAAGAUGGAUAUAGCGGAUAUUCCUGCAAGAGCCAGCAGGUGUGACGUGUACGUCAGCGAGGAUCCAGUAACGUAGAUUUCUCAUAAAUAUAUAAAAGUCCACACUCGGUUUAUGAUAUAACAAAGCAUCAGUGCGAUGAAUAUCUGAAUCGAAAUGUUAAAUUUAUCGUAAUGUAGGAUGGAAUAGAAGUGCAACUUUAAACGAUGGUACGCAAGUCGAUACAAAUAAGUACCUGACGUAAUAUCAAGAGUGAAAACUAACCGGAAAUACAUGCUAGAAAUUGCCGGCUUCGUAAGAUGCAGGGACUAGGACAUUUCCCUUGCGGAGAUGAUCGAUCAGGAUCUAAACCUCCGCCCUCAGGCGAGUACCCAGGAGGGUUCCUAGGAACCUGGAAAACAGAUACCUUUGUUAAGAAUAGAAAUCAUAAUUCUUUUCUAAUUAUAUAGUCUAAUCAAUCUUUUGAGCGAAUUCCAAACCACGGAAAAGAUAUCAAGAAGUAUUUAAAUAUUAACAUUAUUUCAAGGUAAUUAAAAAAAUUUUCUUUCCCCUAUCCUAAUGGAAGUACAAUUUAUGAUAUUUCUAUCAACAGCAUUAAAAUAUUCUUGAUGUUAUUUGAUGUUAUUAUAGAUAGAAGACGUACUUGAGUUUUUCACUGACGUUUGCUAAUGGUUAUUUGUGCUUUUGAAAACUAUCUUCUACAAUCUUUUCCUUUGAGUGUCCUCCAAAUCAAUGAUAAUUUGUAAUGUUUUUAUAUAUUUCUUAAAUAUUUGUUGUAAUUAAUGAAAUAUAUUAACAUGUCGUAUAGAUAAUACCGAAGAACUGUUUGAACCUUCGAGUAUGAUUCGAUAUUUAUAAGAGGUAACAGUUUUAAGCUUUGAACAUUAUGUUUUGGUGGAUCGUGACAGUUUAAAUCAGGGUGAAAGAUUCAAAAUUUUAAAUGAUCACGUUCGAUCAAGAUUCAGUGUUGAAGAUUUAAGAUUAUUGUGACUUUUAAAUAUCGAAUCAUAUUCGUAGGUUCAGACGGUUCUUUGGUAUUAUCGACACGAUAUGUUAAUACAUUUCAUUAUGUGCCAAAACUUUAAAUAGAGACGUAGGAAUCAAAACUUUAAUUGCUAUGGAUUCCAAUCCAUAUUUGGAAAUAAAAGAAUAAUAGUUAAAUUCGCUGAAAAUAGGUAUCUCAAACGGACGCUUUUUUUAUAUUCUCAUUCAAUUAGAAUUUAGGAUUUGUUACUCUGCGAUAUUUAAUUUCUAGCUGUUUAUUUCAAAAAUAUUUAUCAUGUAAUCAUAUUAAAUGCUUACCAUCCUAAGCUGGUACAUGCUAGGAGAAAUAAGUACUUCCUCGCAAUAAUAUAAUCACGAUAUAUUUUCAAUAUUUCAAUUUGUAGAAUCCAGUUUACACAUAAUUAUUUAAAAACUGCACGAAAGAUCAUUGGGAAUUAUCUAUCGCAAAAGAAGAACAGCUGUAAGAAAUCUUUAUACUGAAUCUCACGAUUAACAGAUUUCGUAUUGAUUUGUACGAUUUACACGACUGCCACAAACAUACUGGGUACUUCUGAGGAUACUUCCCCUUUACAUACAGUCGACAUUAUUUCAACACAUAAACACUUCUAAUUCUCCUUGUUAUAUCUUUAAAUGUAACGAAUUAAUUUUAAAUAUUUCGACAUAGGAACAAUAAUAUUUUUGUACUUAUUAUAUCUAGGAAACGUCCUAAUUAUAAUGUUAGAACAGUCGAAUGCCAACUAUUAUAUGAUAUAUAUUUCCUCUAAUAUACAAAUUAAAAUGAACAAAAAUAAUUGCACAGCUUCGACUAUUAUUUAUUUUUGUUCCAUUUGCUACAUCGGCUACGUUGCGAUCAUAAUCCAGCAUUUGAUUUAUCUUUAAUUUCUUGAAGCAUAGCUUCCUUUAUCGCGGCAAUUCUUGUUCUCUUUACUUUCCCUCUAUUUCGACGUUUCCUACUGAAACUGUCGUAUUUUCUACGAUCUCUCAUGUGUCGAAAUAUUUUUUCGUUUGUAACUUUCUCUGUAGGGAAACGCUUCGCAGAAAUCAUUUUCCCUCCUUGCAUCUGCAUCUUCGUACACUGAGUACAUUUACAUCGUAUCUAUAAUUUCUGCGAAUGUGUACAAUAUUGCUCGAUUCCUGGUGCACUUGCCCCAAUUAUAUCGAAUAAGAUUGCGUUCAAGCUCACGACGCAAAGAAUCAUCGGGCUUUUGUAUACAUUGGCUUUGAGCUAUUGGGUUUGCAACUAAGUGAUUGCGGAUUUUGUUAUUAGGUGGUGUUGACAAAAUCCGCAAUCACUUAGUUGCCAACCCAAUAUUAUCCGGCUGCGAUAACAGUCGUUCGUUGGCCUCUUGCGUUCCUCGGAAAUCAAAACGGAAAGUGUUAAAUGCAACUGAAGUAGAAAACUGAUUCAUGGAAUCAACUGAUUCACUCACGUACUUACACAUGUACGCGUGUAAUUCAUAUUCAAUCAGACGUGAGCACUUUUGACAUCGUUUCGAUUGCAAGUGUUUAAAAAUUGCGUGCACGCAAUUUUUAUGGACGUAACUUUUGUGGGCGUCAUUUUUACGGACAUAGCUUUUAUGGAUAGGCGUAGUACUCGCGAACUUAUUCGUAUAUGUUAAAAUCGUUUAAGUAUCAGCCAUAUUUAGAUAUUUUACUAAUAUAACUGUAGCAAAACACCAGUUAUUUAAAAACUGAUAAUUUUUUUCUCGUUUAAUUCAGAUUUGUGCAAAAAGUUACAUUGUGGGUCUCCAGUCAUGCAUACUUUGGGAAGAGUUUUUUUUCUUUUCUUUUCAAUUAUUAUAUUCCGACAGAAUCAAAGUAUCGAUAAAUUUAAAUGAGCGAAAACGUACCCGUAAUUAAUUUCACGCCGCAUUUAAAUCGUCUACGUUCUGUUUACCUAAUGAAAUUUCAUCUUAGUAUCGAAUGUAUUACACUCGGUUACAUUAUAUCAAAGCAGGUCGAUCUAUUACUGGGAUGAUGAAAAUACGCAAUAACAGCUCUGAUACGAUUAAUCGUUCGAAUAACAAUCUGUUGUAUAUACACCACAAAACGGAUCACUGGCGAAAUAACAAAUGAAUUUAAAAAAAAAAGAAAGAAAGAAACAAUUACGCGAUAUGAUGCACUAUGCAUCGUAAUACUUGGUUGUACAUAAUAAUUCACGUUUAUACAUAAGAACACACGAUUAUACUUAGUAAUACACGAUUAUACAUAGCGAUGCAUAAUAAAUUAUACAACAGAUGUGUAAGUUGGCGACCGGUAACAUUUCACAUGCUCGCCGUGUGCAGCAUGUAAACGCAUACACGCACGCGCUAUGUAUUCGCGCGUAGCCUCGUACUCGAUAACAUAACCUAA
This is a long non-coding RNA of Bombus huntii, 3487 nucleotides long. RefSeq lists it as uncharacterized. The record is from RefSeq and is a predicted model, not a curated record. Lineage: Eukaryota; Metazoa; Arthropoda; Insecta; Hymenoptera; Apidae. The transcript is spliced from 5 exons.